CCUACGGGUGGCUGCAGUGGGGAAUUUUGGACAAUGGGCGCAAGCCUGAUCCAGCCAUUCCGCGUGAGUGAAGAAGGCCUUCGGGUUGUAAAGCUCUUUCGCAAGGGAAGAAAACUUACAUUCUAAUAAAGUGUGAGGCUGACGGUACCUUGAUAAGAAGCACCGGCUAACUACGUGCCAGCAGCCGCGGUAAUACGUAGGGUGCGAGCGUUGAUCGGAGUUACUGGGCGUAAUUCGUUCGCAGGCGGGUGAAAUCCCCGAGCUCAACUUGGGAACUGCGGUUGAAACUACAAGACUAGAAUAUGUCAGAGGGGGGUAGAAUUCCACGUGUAGCAGUGAAAUGCGUAGAGAUGUGGAGGAAUACCAAUGGCGAAGGCAGCCCCCUGGGAUAAUAUUGACGCUCAUGCACGAAAGCGUGGGGAGCAAACAGGAUUAGAUACCCCUGUAGUC
This 450-nucleotide ribosomal RNA is filed under the name uncultured bacterium. Its description in RNAcentral is "partial 16S ribosomal RNA". It matches the Rfam family "Bacterial small subunit ribosomal RNA", at positions 338 to 795 of the family's 1533-position model. The record is from RNAcentral.